CUAAGAAUCUUCCGCAAUGGGCGAAAGCCUGACGGAGCGACGCCGCGUGGACGAUGAAGGCCGAAAGGUUGUAAAGUCCUUUUCUCUGUGAAGAAUAAGGGUGCGAGGAAAUGCGCGCCUGAUGACGUUAGCAGAGGAAUAAGCCCCGGCUAAUUACGUGCC
This 162-nucleotide ribosomal RNA is filed under the name uncultured bacterium. Its description in RNAcentral is "partial 16S ribosomal RNA". It matches the Rfam family "Bacterial small subunit ribosomal RNA", at positions 355 to 509 of the family's 1533-position model. The record is from RNAcentral.